CUUAGCAUAUCAAUAAGCGGAGGAAAAGAAACCAACAGGGAUUGCCUCAGUAACGGCGAGUGAAGCGGCAUCAGCUCAAAUUUGAAAUCUGGCUCCUUCGGGGUCCGAGUUGUAAUUUGUAGAGAGUGCUUCGGGGGAGAGUGCGGUCUAAGUCCGUUGGAACACGGCGUCAUAGAGGGUGAGAAUCCCGUAUGCGACCGCGGCUCGAGCCCGUGUGAAGCCUCUUCGACGAGUCGAGUUGUUUGGGAAUGCAGCUCAAAAUGGGUGGUAAAUUUCAUCUAAAGCUAAAUACUGGCUGGAGACCGAUAGCGCACAAGUAGAGUGAUCGAAAGAUGAAAAGCACUUUGGAAAGAGAGUUAAACAGUACGUGAAAUUGUUGAAAGGGAAGCGCUGGCAACCAGACCUGUCCGUAGGUGAUCAGCCGCUGUUCUCAGUGGUGCACUCGCUCUGCGAUCAGGCCAGCAUCGGUUCUGGCGGUCGGAUAAAGGCCUUGGGAAUGUAGCUUCUCUUCGGGGGAGUCUUAUAGCCCUCGGUGCAAUGCGGCCAGUCGGGACCGAGGACCGCGCUUCGGCUAGGAUGCUGGCGUAAUGGUUGUCAGCGACCCGUCUUGAAACACGGACCAAGGAGUCUAACAUCUAUGCGAGUGUUUGGGUGUUAAACCCAUGCGCGGAAUGAAAGUGAACGGAGGUGAGACCCCUUAAGGGCGCAUCAUCGACCGAUCCAGAUGUCUUCGGAUGGAUUUGAGUAUGAGCAUAGCUGUUGGGACCCGAAAGAUGGUGAACUAUGCCUGAAUAGGGUGAAGCCAGAGGAAACUCUGGUGGAGGCUCGCAGCGGUUCUGACGUGCAAAUCGAUCGUCAAAUUUGGGUAUAGGGGCGAAAGACUAUUCGUC
This 890-nucleotide ribosomal RNA is filed under the name Parmelia serrana. RNAcentral's name for it is "LSU rRNA". It matches the Rfam family "Eukaryotic large subunit ribosomal RNA", at positions 33 to 939 of the family's 3401-position model. The record is from RNAcentral. Lineage: Eukaryota; Fungi; Ascomycota; Lecanoromycetes; Lecanorales; Parmeliaceae.